AACGAACGCUGGCGGCAGGCUUAACACAUGCAAGUCGAACGCCCCGCAAGGGGGUGGCAGACGGGUGAGUAACACGUGGGAACCUUCCUAGAGGUACGGAACAACUCAGGGAAACUUGAGCUAAUACCGUAUACGCUCUUGCGAGGAAAGAUUUAUCGCCUUUAGACGGGCCCGCGUCGGAUUAGCUAGUUGGUGGGGUAACGGCCUACCAAGGCGACGAUCCGUAGCUGAUCUGAGAAGAUGAUCAGCCACACUGGGACUGAGACACGGCCCAGACUCCUACGGGAGGCAGCAGUGGGGAAUCUUGGACAAUGGGCGCAAGCCUGAUCCAGCCAUGCCGCGUGAGUGAAGAAGGCCUUCGGGUUGUAAAGCUCUUUUACCAGGGACGAUAAUGACGGUACCUGGAGAAUAAGCCCCGGCAAACUUCGUGCCAGCCGCCGCAGUAA
RNAcentral lists this ribosomal RNA (446 nucleotides) under uncultured bacterium. RNAcentral's name for it is "partial 16S ribosomal RNA". It matches the Rfam family "Bacterial small subunit ribosomal RNA", at positions 29 to 523 of the family's 1533-position model. The record is from RNAcentral.